AAGGUUAACCGUAUAGGGGAGCCGGAGGGAAACCGAGUCUUAACCGGGCGUUAAGUUGCAGGGUAUAGACCCGAAACCCGGUGAUCUAGCCAUGGGCAGGUUGAAGGUUGGGUAACACUAACUGGAGGACCGAACCGACUAAUGUUGAAAAAUUAGCGGAUGACCUGUGGCUGGGGGUGAAAGGCCAAUCAAACCGGGAGAUAGCUGGUUCUCCCCGAAAGCUAUUUAGGUAGCGCCUCGUGAAUUCAUCUCCGGGGGUAGAGCACUGUUUCGGCUAGGGGGCCAUCCCGGCUUACCAACCCGAUGCAAACUGCGAAUACCGGAGAAUGUUAUCACGGGAGACACACGGCGGGUGCUAACGUCCGUCGUGAAGAGGGAAACAACCCAGACCGCCAGCUAAGGUCCCAAAGUCAUGGUUAAGUGGGAAACGAUGUGGGAAGGCCCAGACAGCCAGGAUGUUGGCUUAGAAGCAGCCAUCAUUUAAAGAAAGCGUAAUAGCUCACUGGUCGAGUCGGCCUGCGCGGAAGAUGUAACGGGGCUAAACCAUGCACCGAAGCUGCGGCAGCGACGCUGAUGCGUUGUUGGGUAGGGGAGCGUUCUGUAAGCCUGUGAAGGUGGCCUGUGAGGGUUGCUGGAGGUAUCAGAAGUGCGAAUGCUG
Molecule: ribosomal RNA, 658 nt
Filed under: Salmonella enterica subsp. enterica serovar Montevideo
Lineage: Bacteria; Pseudomonadati; Pseudomonadota; Gammaproteobacteria; Enterobacterales; Enterobacteriaceae
Description: partial 23S ribosomal RNA
Rfam family: Bacterial large subunit ribosomal RNA
Source: RNAcentral